CCCAGGCUGGAGUGCAAUGGCGCAAUCUCGGCUCACUGCAACCUCCACCCCCCCGGGUUCACACCAUUCUCCUGCCUCAGUCUCCUGAGUAGUUGGGACUUUACCAAAGGGACAUCAUAAGACAGAAAUUGGGCCAGCUGUUGAGAAUUCAGAGAUGAAGACAGAGCUCUUGGCUUAAUGGAGUCCUGAUGUUAGUGAUGAUUAUAUUAAGGCAAUUUCUGUAAAAUGUUCGAUUUCCCUCCCUCCAGCAUCUUGGCUGGAUGUAAGUGAUUGUGUUCUUUUAUGUGAAGCUACCCUGGAUCCCUGCAAUAGUGUUAUUCACUGAGCAUGAAUAAUGGGUUGGUUAUUGGCAAUUCUGUAGAGCAGGAAUGACUAUUAGCGAACUUGGAGCUCACUAAAGGGAUAUCAGUUACUGGAAUGUCAAGAGGACAUAUCAAUCAAGAUCUCUCAUAAUAAGUUGAGGAGACAGCAUGUCUACAACUGAAAAUGUGGCAAGGGCAUGAUGUACGAGGAUGACGGGCAGAUGACUUCUGUGGAUGAUCCAGAGAAGGAGCCAUCACCGGGGACAACCCAGAUCAGGAACAGCUUCAUAGAGUACGUGUAGCGUGUCUUUCAAGGGGGCCUCUCCUGUGAAGCUUCCUGGAUGCUGGGAUCAAUUAUCGUGCUUAAGAGACCAGUGCUGCUACCACUGGCCGCAUCAAGGAACUGGAGCUGAGACUGAGAAUGCAAGCUGUGUUGAAGGGACUCUUUUCAUUGGCAUAAGGAAAUUAUGGAGUAAUACAGUAUGCACUGGAUCAACCAUUGUCUAUGCCUGGUAUUAUGACAAAAAGUGAUUGAUUUUGGCAUCAAAAUUAAAGUGUUCAUCUGGCUCAACUGUUCUUUGUACACCGUCCUUCAUUAUGACAAGUACGUAUAGCAAAGAUACUGCCUUCAGUGUGAACUGUUGAUUAUUGAUUAAGCAGAUCACAUUUGGAUAGGCUGCAAUUUCUGCGUGUUUAAUGGAUGGGAUCCUUCUGAGAAUGCUAGAGUAGGAAAUCAUGACACCGAGCCACUUCAGUCAUAAACCUUAUUCUUGCACUUUUUUUUCUUGCUGGUAAUUUUGUGUAGCAGGUUGGGAAAGCUACUCGAUGCUAGUAUAGACGAUACACCCAUAAUUUUGAUAAUGAGUUCUAGUAUGUAUUUUUCUUCUUGUAUCUUUCCUUCCUACCAUGAUACUAGUAAUUUGUAAGGGAUCUGUGUAGUUUGAAUGUAUUUUAAUAACUUUAGCUCUACAGUUUGAUUUGACCCAAAGAAGCCAAGAGGACAUAAGUAUUCCCAUUUAGAAGCCCAAAGUCAGUGAGAUGAAACCCAACAUCAAGAAAUUGAAGCAAAGUUACUUGUGGAUAAAGAAAGCAUUAGGUAGCUUGGCUAGAGCAUAAUUAGAUUUUCUGGCUUUCAAAAAUUUGGAUUACAAUAAGAGGAAAUUUUAUGCUAUUUUUACAAUUUUCAGUACAAAGGGG
This 1499-nucleotide long non-coding RNA is filed under the name Macaca mulatta (Rhesus monkey). RNAcentral describes it as "lncRNA (ENSMMUG00000058376.1)". Lineage: Eukaryota; Metazoa; Chordata; Mammalia; Primates; Cercopithecidae. The record is from RNAcentral.